GAUGAACGCUGGCGGCGUGCCUAAUACAUGCAAGUCGAACGGGGAGUAGCAAUACUCUUGGUGGCGAACGGGUGAGUAACGCGUUGGUACCUGCCCCGAAGCGGGGGAUAACGGACCGAAAGGUCCGCUAAUACCCCAUGUGCUCGGUAACGAGUAAAGGUGAAAACCACUUUGGGAGGGGCCUGCGUCCCAUCAGCUAGUUGGUAAGGUAACGGCUUACCAAGGCGAUGACGGGUAGGGGACCUGAGAGGGUGGCCCCCCACAAUGGAACUGAAACACGGUCCAUACACCUACGGGUGGCAGCAGUAGGGAAUAUUGGUAAUGGGCGCAAGCCUGAACCAGCAACGCCGCGUGUGCGAUGACGGCCUUCGGGUUGUAAAGCACUUUUGACUGGGACGAGGAAGGACGGUACCGGUCGAAUCAGCCUCGGCUAACUACGUG
RNAcentral lists this ribosomal RNA (441 nucleotides) under uncultured bacterium. Its description in RNAcentral is "partial 16S ribosomal RNA". It matches the Rfam family "Bacterial small subunit ribosomal RNA", at positions 28 to 507 of the family's 1533-position model. The record is from RNAcentral.